Helianthus annuus (common sunflower) is the source of this 1227-nucleotide long non-coding RNA. RefSeq lists it as uncharacterized. The record is from RefSeq and is a predicted model, not a curated record. NCBI's taxonomy places the organism in Eukaryota, Viridiplantae, Streptophyta, Magnoliopsida, Asterales, Asteraceae. The transcript is spliced from 3 exons.
CAAACAACAGGGGCGAACAAGAGCUUCCCCACCAAACCCUAACUUGUGCCAAAUUGAUCAAAUUGGAGGUUCAAAUCAGUUCCAAAUCGAUUUUCAAGCAUGAAAUUGUGAUCUCCUCUGAAAAGGGAUCAUAAGGAAAAGAAACCGGAGCGUCAAGUGGACAAGCUGGCGGUGACGCGCGCUUGAAAGGGGUGCUUGAAAGGUAUGUCCAUGAAGUGGUGUAACUCACUCGACAUCCAAACGGGUCAAAACAAGUUGAGUUGUAAAUGUCGAAGUCAAUGACCAUCACUCGUUGAUUGGUCAUAAACAAAGCGUAAGCCGUGAAGCGGACACGCUAACUAGAUGCAAAAAACAUGAACCCUUGAAGAGGGAUUAAAGCUCGGAAUUUUUACUUAUCAAACGAUUUAAGAAAGCAUGUUUAAUCCUUGAAAUAAGCAUGAUGGUUACGGCAUAAGCAACCUACGAGUGGGAAGCGAAACGCCAUAAUUGGUAAAAACGGGAAUAGGUGAAAUGGCCUAAAAACAUGAGAUGACAACAAAACAAGUUGUUGAAUUUGUAGACAUACGGGUCGAAUAAAUAAGGAAUCGGAUUAUAAUCCGAUUGUUCUUAACUAAAAACUUACGUGAAUUAAGUUGAUCAAAGUGUCCGUUAUUAAAUUACGGUCGCGUGGGAAAAAGAAUCACCUAAAACGGACUUACGAGUCACAAGUUAUGUUGAUUUAAAGUUUAAAACGUUAAGAUUUGGUGCUGAACUGAUACAUAGCUCCAACAAGCAACAAUCUGUCGAAAUCACGCCGUGGCGCAAUGCCACGACCUCCCUCGCGUGACGCGACGACGGUGGCGCGACUCCACGCCCUCCCUCGCGCGACGCCAGCAUCCAGAACCGAGAUUUUCUUGUUUUUUUUGAUACUUUGAGUAUGGAACUUGCUUAUACUUGGUGUUUAAUGUGUCAAACUAAUAAUUUUAAAAGGUUUUGACCGUAGGUGAAGAUGGACCUAAUCCAGAUGGUGAUCAAGCAAUUAACAAGAACCGAAUGCACCAAAUGAAGCUUCCGCAUUUUGUUUAUUUUGUUUUAGAAAUACGUGAACACUUGAAACUAUGUUUUUAAAGUUAACUAGUAGCAUGAUGACUACAAUAUUAAGACCUUGUAGGGUCUUAAAAUCAUGAAAACUUUUUGUAGCUCGCAAAUUUUGUACUAAAUGCAAGUUAUAUAUUAUUAAUUCUGUUA